Molecule: transfer RNA, 73 nt
Filed under: Treponema sp.
Lineage: Bacteria; Pseudomonadati; Spirochaetota; Spirochaetia; Treponematales; Treponemataceae
Description: tRNA-Pro
Rfam family: tRNA
About the family: Transfer RNA (tRNA) molecules are approximately 80 nucleotides in length. Their secondary structure includes four short double-helical elements and three loops (D, anti-codon, and T loops).
Source: RNAcentral
CGGGAUGUAGCCUAGUGGCUAAGGCGUCUGCUUUGGGAGCAGAAAAUCGACGGUUCGAAUCCGCCCAUCCCGA